This is a long non-coding RNA of Aquila chrysaetos chrysaetos, 1264 nucleotides long. RefSeq lists it as uncharacterized. Lineage: Eukaryota; Metazoa; Chordata; Aves; Accipitriformes; Accipitridae. The transcript is spliced from 3 exons. The record is from RefSeq and is a predicted model, not a curated record.
AUUUAUCCUUAGCUGAGGGAGAAACCCAGCUCCUGCUGCCCCCGUGGAAAGCAUGCCGAGAGGAAGAGAUGCGGACAAAGCUGAGCUAAAAAACCUCGUUAACAUCAUCGCUGUAACCAGACACACAGCCAAGUACUCAACUGUGUGCCCAAGACAGACCUACAGACUUCAUUAGAAUGUCAUCAUAUUUUGAAGACUGACUGGCACUUUCCAGUACAUAUAGUUGGUAACAUCAGAAAACUCUGAGGCCAUGUGGAGCCACUUCAAGUCUAAAACGUGCAUACUACAGCAUCUCAACCAGGAUGUUAAAUCUUUGUUUACCGGCCUCCUCGUCUUCCUCCUUCAUUGCAAGCCUUCGAUGUGGCUCCAGAACCAAAUUCCUUUCUCUGGACACUCUUCUGUUCCCUUGUUUGUGUUUCUUGCAACUCUCUAGCUGAGAAUUGUCUUAAACAGGGCUAAUGUUACAAGGUUUUCUUUCAUCUUUUUUUUUUUUUUCUUGUAAGUCCUUAAAAUUGUCUACUGCACCUUCUUUCAGUACCACAGAAACCGUGUGGUACGUCCUGUUUUUUCACCCAUCGUUUGUUUGUUCCCCUGCGUUAUGUCACAGCAAACAUCUGAACCAGGCUUUACACGUCCAGCUAUGGGCUGCUGCUGCUUAAGGUGAUUCCAUAGCAAACAAAAAUAAACAAAAGACCCCCUCAAACCUCGUUUAGUGGUUCAUAAGAAGCUUAACUGCUCUUCAGUAAUGUCCUCUGAUUCAUUUCAAAGCUGCAAAAAUGCAGUUUAACCUUUCACUGGCAAUAUAGCUAUAGUUAUUCUGAGAGAUUGUUCCGUUCUACAAAUAUAGGGCCUUGGUAUAUAGAGCCCUUCUAUAUUGAGGAGCCAGUAGGAUUCCAGUCCAUGAGUAGUGGCCAAAAUUUACUACCUAUUCAUAGGGAUCUCUAUUGGUCAUAAACAAGUUUUCUGCAAGUCAGGAAACAUAUAAACAUAGCAUUGCCACUAAUGAAAUAUUGAUAUAUUGGGAGGGGGGGGGAUAUGUCUUUUGCUAUCUGUCAGGCUUAAAAGCAGCAGUGUAUAGGAUCAGUAUGCCCAAAUUUAUUAGGUGGUUUUAAAAGCUCCCUCCCUCCUGAAAUAAUUACUAAAAUUGCAAGAAAGUCACUGCUCUCUAAUAAAUGUGUAUUUUCUCAGCUAUAUCCCUGUGACAUAAUAUUUUAAAUUAAUCUGGCUUAUUUAAUCCUAUAAAUUUUCCUGGAACACUGUCUUA